RNAcentral lists this ribosomal RNA (468 nucleotides) under uncultured Armatimonadota bacterium. RNAcentral describes it as "bacterial SSU rRNA". It matches the Rfam family "Bacterial small subunit ribosomal RNA", at positions 9 to 507 of the family's 1533-position model. The record is from RNAcentral. Lineage: Bacteria; Bacillati; Armatimonadota.
GAGUUUGAUCCUGGCUCAGGACGAACGCUAGCGGCGUGCCUAAGGUAUGCAAGUCGAACGGAUGGCUUCGGCCAUUAGUGGCGAACGGUCGAGUAACACGUAGACAACCUGCCGAUCAGUGGGGGAUAACUGCGGGAAACUGCAGCUAAUACCGCAUGUGGCCGGAAGCGGCAUCGCUUCCGUGCUAAAGGAGUAAUUCGCUGGUCGAUGGGUCUGCGGCCUAUCAGCUUGUUGCGGGUAACGCCCACCAAGGCGACGACGGGUAGCUGGUCUGAGAGGAUGAUCAGCCGGACGGGGACUGAGACACGGCCCGACUCCUUCGGGAGGCAGCAAUGAGGAAUAUUGCGCAAUGGGGGAAACCCUGACGCAGCGACGCCGCGUGGGUGAGGAAGUCUUUCGGGAUGUAAAACCCUUUUCUCGGGAAGAGCACGGACGGUACCCGAGGAAGAAGCCCCGGCUAACUACGUG